CGCGCAGGCGGCGAUUUAAGCAGGAUGUGAAAGGCUACGGCUCAACCGUAGACAUGCACCCCUGAACUGGGUCACUUGAGUAUUGGAGAGGCAGGCAGAAUUCCUGGUGUAGCGGUGAAAUGCGUAGAUAUCAGGAGGAAUACCGGAGGCGAAGGCGGCCUGCUGGACAAAUACUGACGCUGAGGCGCGAAGCGUGGGAGCAAACA
This 206-nucleotide ribosomal RNA is filed under the name uncultured bacterium. Its description in RNAcentral is "partial 16S ribosomal RNA". It matches the Rfam family "Bacterial small subunit ribosomal RNA", at positions 568 to 774 of the family's 1533-position model. The record is from RNAcentral.